GCGUCACGACGAUCGCCGCCUAGAAUAGUAAUCAAAUCCAACCUCAGAAUUCAUAUCGAUAGAAUAUAUAACUUAUAUAAAAUACGUCACUACGUAGAUCGAUCCGGAAGAUCUGCCACUCAGAUUUUAAAUCCAUAACUUCCAAAGGUCCACAAUAUAUCUCUAGGAUAACAUCCUAAAAUUUCAUUUCCAUCCAACGGUCGGAUCUCCGUCAAUUUCCAAAACUAAGUGACGGUUAACAUUUUUAUAUUAUGGACUUACAACUUCAAUUCCGGAAGAUCCGUAAAUCGGAUUCCCAAUCCGUAAGUUCCUAUAAUCCUCAAAUAUUACGUAUUACAACGUAUCAAAAUUUGGUGACGAUCCAACGGUCGGAUCAUCAAUUCACAUUUUCACCUAAUGCGAAAUUUAUAAAAACGUUAUUUAAACGUACAUACGAAACAUUCGCUAAUAACUUCUCAUACGUUGAUCAAUUUGGGUAUAUAAAUAUACCACCGUGACCUACACGACGUCACGAACCCGUACAUAUUUUUAGAAAUAAUUUUGGACCAUGCACGCGCCCCCACGCGCCGGCGAGGCCACGGGUCUACGCGCGGCCCACGCGCAGUAACCCUAACGGAACUUUGAAACGGCGUCAGGAAUAUUCCGAGGAAUAUUCCGUUAACUUCUAACGGUAACCGUUAAAACUGACUAACGGCGUCAGAAUAUUCCGUCAAACUUGACGGAAUAUUCCGUCACCUUCAACCUUCAGCUCCGGCGACCGUCGCCGGUGCCGGAAACUGGGUAAGUUUUCUAAACUUGAUAUCUUGUUCGUUUUUCAACCAAUUUUUAUGAAAUUCAUACCAAAUUGAAGCUUAGGACCUCUAGAAUCACUUUAUACCUGUUUGAAACUUCAAAUUGCAUGAAAUUACGUCGGGGAACUUUGAAACUCCGGCGACCUCUGUAAAACUUCGUAACUGAGCUUCCCGUGAUCCUUUUCUUACCAACGAUGCACUCCGAGCAUCGUGAGAACAUUCUAAAGCUCCCUAUGAUCCUGAAAUUCAAAGAAAAUCUCCCAUUUAAAAGAUGAUGAACAAUACCCAAAUCGGGAAUCCUAUUUUUUUUUAGGGUUUUCCGACGUCCUAUUCCAUCCAAAACUCGUCCAUUAAACUUAAGAGGAAGAAAGAUUACCUUUGGGAGUCUUAAACUGGCUUGAAACUUCCAAGAUCACGUCGAAGUGAUUGUGUACUCAAAUCGGGUUACGGCUUUUCUCGGGUUUUCGAAGGUUCCAGGAUUUGAAAGCUAUGUGGUUAAAAUCAUAAGGACCUCAGGAACACCACCGUACUCUCCAUGAUCUCGAUCUGUAAAGGUUUGAAGGUUUUCGAGUGUUGUCUGUGUAUUGAGAGAGAAUGAGGGUGAGUGAAACUUGUCGAGGGAAUAGAGAGAGAGGGAGUGGUACACGGAUGAGAGAGAGAAAGUGCUUGACAGGUUUGAAAGGUAGAGCAAUUCACGGAGAAUGGGAAAUGACUUGGAUCCGUGAGUGUGUAGGGUCUAAGUCCUCAAUCAUUCAUCACAAACCUCCAAAACCUCAAAGUCCAUCUAACUUUAAACUAGGGUAAUUUAACUAAGUUCACACUUAAGAAAAUACUAAUCUUGGGACGGGCUGUGACAAUCUUCCCUCCUUAUAGAAUUUCGUCCCCGAAAUUCCAACAACCAACUAAAUCAACCUUACUGAAACAUCUAUACCCAUACAAUAGUCUCGGGUAGAUCUCUCUCAUCCGUUCUUCCACGUAAUUUCUUCUACUGAAUGAUUUCUUCACAAAUCCUUUACCACUUACUCUUUCUUAACUCUCGGGACUUCCUUUCUCCAAUCCAAAAUCGUCCUUAGUUCCUUAUCAAUUAGAUCCCGCUUAAUUCUCAAUAGUUGCACCAGAAUCUCAUGUGACGAAUCUGCCACCUAGUGACAACGUAUCGAACCCAAAAUACAUUAAGUAUCUUAGCCAACUCUGAAGACAUCACCACUUGUAUGCAACUUUAUUGAUUCCUUUAGUGAUCAAAACGGACUGAUGUGUUCAAGACUUAUCUUGUCUUCCUUUCUAAAUCUUACUAUUUCUGUUCAUGGUGAAAUUUCCAAAAAUAUCAAACCAUUUACCUUACACACUCGAUUAGUGGCAUAUCCAUCUGUUAGUCUCUUUUGCCAUUCCUGGUUACUUCAGGUUAACUUAAUCACCUGAAUACUUUGAGGAGACUCAUCCAUAGUCUCAGGGUCUACUAAAACUCUUUCUUGAUCGAAUCUUUCUCUAUUCAGAAGCAUUUCAUUCACACGACACGCUUCAGGGACCCUAUGGCGUUACUUCGGAAACUGCACAACCAACAUACUUAAGAAACUUAGCAGUUCCGUAAUCCAAUUCUCUUUUCCAUAAAACAAAUAAGUACUGUUACUCAACACUGGAGUAAAUGUACUAACUUAGUACAUUGACCAAUCAACACCUCAAAUUCGAUCAUAACCAUCUUAUGUACAAGAAAACUUGUACACAUAAUCCAAAGUAAUAUCUUUCCAUUUCUGAACUUUACUUUAGUUGGUUUCCAAUCCACAACAAGAAUUUUUUUUUUUUUUUUUUUUUUUUGGCAAGCGUGCCAGACAUUAAUCUUACUGUAGUCUUCUUAUCAAGUGCUUCAGCUACAACAAUUCACGAUCACCCUGAUCGUACAAUCAUAAUCACUAAGUAAUUCAAUUCACCUUUGUUGCCUCAUAUCAAAAUCCUUCCAAGUAAACAAAUAUUGGAGACUCUUUUGAUUUGUAAAAUCUUGCAUUCUUAUCAACAUAUAAUGUCUCCAUAACUUCACAGCAAGGAUGAUAAUCGUGACUUCCAAAUCACCAGUAGGGUAAUUCAUCUUAUGAGAUUCCAUUUGUCAUGAAACAUAUGCCAUCACCCUAACAUUUGCAUCAACAUGCAUCCAAUACCAUUCAAGAAAUAUCACUAAAAUUUUAUGAUUACCACUAUUCUCUGGGAAUACCAAAAUACGUGCAUGAGUGAGGAAAUACUUCAGUUGUUGAAUCCUUUGCUCACAAUUUCCUUCCUACUCAUACAUAACCUCCUUUCUCAACAGUCUCGUCAAUGACAAAGCAAUGACUAAAAAUUCUUUCACAACCAUCCAAAAUAGCCUGAUAAGUUAAGAAUUUCCGAAUCUCAAUUAUGGCUUGUGGUUGUUCCAAUUUCUCAAUUCUGCUGCCUUUUAAGAAUUCAUUUGAAUACCUUAAGUAGAUAUAACCAAUUUCAGAAUGCCACUUGAUUCAUCCAACAUUCACAUUUGCUAAACUUAGCAUACAGUCGACAUUCUUCCAAUCUUUGUUCCACCGACUUAAUACGUUUACAUGCUCUGCUCUGGCUCAGAAUAUGCCAGAAUAUCUUCAACGAAAAUGAUAUCAAUUAUCAAAGCAUUAUUGGAAUACUUCAUCCAUCAACUCAUAAAAUAGCAUGAGUAUCCAUAGCAUCACCAAACUUCAUAAAGACUAUAACAAGUCCAGAAAACCAUCUUAUAAUCAACAUCGUUCAAAAGCUUCAAUUGGUAAUGGACAGACCUCAAGUCAAUCUUUGAAUUUACACCAUUACCUCUGAGCUAGUCAAACAAACAUCAACCAAUUCUCUCAAUUGAAUUUCCAAUUCACUUAACUCAUCAUGAACCAAUCUCUAUCAUAAGAUUUAUACCUGGCAACAAUUCAAUAGUGAACCUUACAUCUUUGCCUGAAGGCAAUCCAGGUAUACUUUCAAGGACAACAUUAAGAAAGCGUCCAAUUACCUUUACAUUUUCCAACUACUAGGAGCCACAUUAUUUAGCAUCACAUAAGCUAAGUAUCCUUGACAGAUCUUCGAUAACUACCUCUUUACUCUCACAGCAAUUUAACAGUCUGUCUCACUCCACUUUGCAUACCCAUCAAGGUAACCUCUGAUCAUCCAGAUCGUUGGAAAGUGACUGGUUUCCCGUAACAUUCCAUCUUAUCACAAUGAUAAUCAACCAUUCUAUAUCUAGAAUGACAUCAAAAUCACAAUACAUACUCUAUUACUACUAAGCAUUCUGAAUAAGUACAAUACUAACAUAGGAUAACCUACCAGUUUACUUACUUAACGAAUCCACGAAUAAGUUAUUAAUAUUACGGUCUGCAGCCCGCAAUACUGAUAAAUCAUCGUUGUCUCGAUAAGUAGGCAACAACUCUCAAAGAUAUAAUAGUACUAUUUUUAUCACUCAAUGCAAAAUACAUAAUAAGAAAUAUAUCAGCCGGGGUCAACUAGAAUGACAUGUACGGCUGAUUCAACAAUUACCUCAAUAAUAUGUCGGCCGGAUCCACUCCGCGUGGUCGGUACGGCCGAGCCUAUAACUCACCAAUUUCUCAUUCGUCAGCCGGGUCCACCUCUCGUGGCCUGCAUGGCUGAACAUAUAACUCAUCAAAUCUUUCUGUACCCACGGUCACUCCGACCAAACUACUAAGUCCAUAACUCUGCUGAAUCGACACUAUGAUAUCAUGGAAAAUUGUUGAGUACAACUGAUUCUAGGGACAAUUCACAAUUCUGUGUCUCCUCUGUUCACAUAAACACAUUCAUUAAUUUCACACUUCCCAAAGUGUUAAUUUUGUACCUGCUGCACAAGGUACAUUUCCUUUACUCGAGACACCUUGUCUCAAAUAUCUGGGAUUACCAGUAUAUCCAUCACUUUUACUUUGACCAGCGACAUUAAAAACUCAACUGGAAGAAUUAACUCUAGCUUCACUUCUUUCGAAACUCUGAAUCUUUCUAUAUCCUUGAUAUGACGAAUCAUUAACUUUAUCGUCUUUUUUUUUCCAUUCAUUUCUUAUUCUUCCUUAAUUCACAUUUGCAACUCUUGCUUAUUACCAUCGAUAAAUGCUGGAGGAAUAAACUUUUCCUUUAACAAGUCCUUAAACAAUUCUCAAGCGGCUGUUUCCUCCAGUGACAACAAUUAUACUCCUGUUUCCACCAGGAUACAAAUUCAUACCCAAAACCAGGUAGUCGUCUCGACCCCUCAGUCAAAAGGAAGAUUCCUUUGACUUGCAUAAUCUAAAACAUCUUUUCCAAAUGGUUAAACCGUUACUUCGCUCCCUCGGGUUCAUCAUUUCAUAAGGUGAUUCAAAUUCGACUCAUAAUCCGUCUUAAAAUGUCCCUUUUUAUAAUAGACUGAAUCACCAUAAGAAUAGUUUCCCCUAAACCGCUAUAUUAGGGAGACUAAAUUCCUCUAACUAAGUGGUUUACUACGAGGCGGUGUAGUUCUGACAGAAUUCACUAGAAACUUCUCAAAAUGUCCAAGAUUGCAACCAUGCUCUGAUACCAACUGACACACCCCGUCCCGAAGGAGGGCAUGCUGGCCGUCACGUGAGAGUGACGUAACCAUUUGCACAGUACGGAAGCUUUAAGAUACAAUUUAUAAGUUGAUACACCCGAAGGUGAGUCCUAAUUUUGUCCAAUCUGUCAGAACACCGACGAAUUCCUCGUAGUCACCACACCUUUGUGAUUCCUGAACCUGGAGGGGCGCAAAACCAAAAUUGAGUGGGUCAGUAAAACAAUUCUUUUCCAAAACCAAACAUUUCUCAAAACGUUGUAACCCCUCUCCGUAAAACCUGUAUACUUUCCCAGAAAUGUAAAAUAUAAAUAUACAUAUAUAUUCUCAAAACUUCAUUUUUACUAUCUCAACAUUAUCUCUUUAUCAAUCAUGCCAUGCCAUGUCAUCUCAACAUUUCUCAUAUUAAUUAUGCCAUGCCACAUCAUCUCAACAGUAAUAAGGUAUGAAUGCAUCAACAUAAUCAUAUCAGGUGCAAGAAAGUAAUCAACCGUAGGCCCUCUAAUAGCCCUAUACGGUUGAACCUAGAGCUCAAAAUCUAUCAUUAUCACUCUACCGGAGUCACCUCUGUGACCCGUCCGGCCUUCUGCACACAAGUUACGCUCUAGUGCUUCUCAUAAAUCAUCUGUGCACAUAAUCUAAGGUCACCCACCAGUCGGAAUCUCACUAACACUCUUGCGACUGGUCUGUCGUACCCACUCCGCGUGGACUGUACGACUAGCAUCUACUUGGAUCCAAGGCGAGCGUGCGAUGCGGUGAAUACUAUAAGCACUAAACCAUGGUGCAGGAUUUGAGCUCAAUAUAUAUCAUCAUAACAGUAAUUAAAUACUCAUCUGUGCGUCCACCGCACCAUUUCAUACAUAUGCAUCAUAAAUCAAUUCUUACCUGUGCGUCCACCGCACCAAUUCAUACAUAUGCAUCAUAAAUCAAUUCUUACCUGUGCGUCCACCGCACCAAUUCAUACAUAUGCAUCAUAUAUUAAUUCAUGCAUGGCAUUUCAACUCACAUUUCUAUAUACUUUUCAUAUCAAUUCUAUGCAUGGUAUUUCACUUCCCGUUUUUCCACAUAACUCAUAUGCAUUUCAUUUUAAACAUUAUUUCAUGCAUUUUCAAUUUCUGGGAAAACGUUAAGUAUAUAUAUAUAUAUACGGAAAACAAAACUGCCCACUCACCUGGAGUUCGUCCAACAACUCCCUAGCACCACACAUCAAGGCGUCACGACGAUCGCCGCCUAGAAUAGUAAUCAAAUCCAACCUCAGAAUUCAUAUCGAUAGAAUAUAUAACUUAUAUAAAAUACGUCACUACGUAGAUCGAUCCGGAAGAUCUGCCACUCAGAUUUUAAAUCCAUAACUUCCAAAGGUCCACAAUAUAUCUCUAGGAUAACAUCCUAAAAUUUCAUUUCCAUCCAACGGUCGGAUCUCCGUCAAUUUCCAAAACUAAGUGACGGUUAACAUUUUAUAUUAUGGACUUACAACUUCAAUUCCGGAAGAUCCGUAAAUCGGAUUCCCAAUCCGUAAGUUCCUAUAAUCCUCAAAUAUUACGUAUUACAACGUAUCAAAAUUUGGUGACGAUCCAACGGUCGGAUCAUCAAUUCACAUUUUCACCUAAUGCGAAAUUUAUAAAACGUUAUUUAAACGUACAUACGAAACAUUCGCUAAUAACUUCUCAUACGUUGAUCAAUUUGGGUAUAUAAAUAUACCACCGUGACCUACACGACGUCACGAACCCGUACAUAUUUUUAGAAAUAAUUUUGGACCAUGCACGCGCCCCCACGCGCCGGCGAGGCCACGGGUCUACGCGCGGCCCACGCGCAGUAACCCUAACGGAACUUUGAAACGGCGUCAGGAAUAUUCCGAGGAAUAUUCCGUUAACUUCUAACGGUAACCGUUAAAACUGACUAACGGCGUCAGAAUAUUCCGUCAAACUUGACGGAAUAUUCCGUCACCUUCAACCUUCAGCUCCGGCGACCGUCGCCGGUGCCGGGAAACUGGGUAAGUUUUCUAAACUUGAUAUCUUGUUCGUUUUUCAACCAAUUUUUAUGAAAUUCAUACCAAAUUGAAGCUUAGGACCUCUAGAAUCACUUUAUACCUGUUUGA
Molecule: long non-coding RNA, 7420 nt
Filed under: Malus domestica (apple)
Lineage: Eukaryota; Viridiplantae; Streptophyta; Magnoliopsida; Rosales; Rosaceae
Description: long non-coding RNA (MDOM_LNC006557)
Source: RNAcentral